GUCACGACGCUGUAACGGCUUCCUGUAGCGCUCAACGUUGCUGACUUGCUCUGGCUCCUGAUCUGUGGGAAUACUGGGAGGUAGCGAGGAAAUGUGGAUCUGCUCAGGAGCGGGGUUUCUGCCUGGAAGCAAACAGAUGUCCCUAUAAUGCUUCCAUAAUGUCGGGGUACACGCUCUGGGGAGGCCAAUCCAUGACUGAUAGACUUCCACUGUAUACUUUUCUGUGCAGGUAUGACUUUACUGCACUGACAGUGUGUUUGGGAUCACUGUCAUGCUGAUAAAUGAAGCUUCUCUCAAUCAGACACUUUCCAGUCUUACAGGCUUACAGAUGUAGACGCCCACCGUGUACCUCUAAUAAAAGCCUGA
Molecule: long non-coding RNA, 366 nt
Organism: Oreochromis niloticus (Nile tilapia)
Lineage: Eukaryota; Metazoa; Chordata; Actinopteri; Cichliformes; Cichlidae
Exons: 3
Source: RefSeq, a predicted model, not a curated record